Molecule: non-coding RNA, 438 nt
Organism: Taeniopygia guttata (zebra finch)
Lineage: Eukaryota; Metazoa; Chordata; Aves; Passeriformes; Estrildidae
Source: RefSeq, a predicted model, not a curated record
GGCUGGGGGAAAACAGCUCCACGUUAUACUGGGGAAUGAAUGUUCCACAUGCAGCACCCCCACACAUUGAAUGGAACCACGCACACACAUUCUGUUCAGCUGUUGUGGCUGUCCCGAGGUCACAGAGGUGAGAAACACAUGAAUGAACAACUUCUACCUCUUAAAGAGAAGGAAGAAGCAGAAAUAAGGAAAAAGAUACAAGGGAGGGACUCAAGUACACCUGUAUCAUAUAACCUGUGCCAGUAUGGUUUAGCACAACCAUGACAAACUCUAAUUUCUGUAUCCUCUUCUAAAAACCCUGGGAUGUUAUUAAUUGCAAAAAGGUCUCGGACAUGGGAGGAAGAGAAAGAGUUCACAACCAGGCAACUUACCACAAUUCCCAGUGCUUUCAGGAUGUUCAGUUUACACAUUGGACACGUGCAGUGCUCACUGAGCCAU